GUUAUGUCACCGUUAUUUACACUGUCCACCUUAUUAACAUUCGCAGCGUAGUACCGAAAGUCGACACACUUAACGAACAUAAACUUCUAUACGAAACGAACAAAAAGCUUGGAAUCGAAAAAACUUCUCUUGAAGGUCCAAGUUCUAAUUACCUGCAGAUAAGUAUCAGCCGGCCGUCCGCAAAUGGCGUGCUCCUGCAGCGACGUCUGAGAGCUCGUCAGUCAAACACGUCAGCUAUGCCCGGAUGUUAUCGUGCCAGCGUAAUAACCUUUGUGUCACGCUUACCGGUAACUAUGAUGCUCUCGAAACGUCGAAGGAAGAGAAACGCGAUACCGAUGCAUCGAUACCUUCCUCUUGCAACGAUUCAAGCGUUAUCGCACGCUGGGGAACAGUUUUCCUUGUCGUAG
Molecule: unclassified non-coding RNA, 407 nt
Filed under: Bombus terrestris (buff-tailed bumblebee)
Lineage: Eukaryota; Metazoa; Arthropoda; Insecta; Hymenoptera; Apidae
Description: misc RNA ENSBTSG00005024006.1
Source: RNAcentral